AACGAACGCUGGCGGCGUGCCUAACACAUGCAAGUCGUACGAGAAAUCCUGGGCAACCGGGAGAGUAAAGUGGCGCACGGGUGAGUAACGCGUGGGUAACUUAUCCUAGAAUUGGGGAUAACUCUUCGAAAGGGGAGUUAAUACCGAAUAAUAUUACAAUUCCUCCGGGAGUUGGAAUCAAAGGUGGCCUCUGCAUGCAAGCUAUCGUUUAUGGAUGGGCCCGCGUACCAUUAGCUAGUUGGUAGGGUAACAGCCUACCAAGGCAACGAUGGUUAGCUGGUCUGAGAGGAUGGCCAGCCACACUGGAACUGAGACACGGUCCAGACUCCUACGGGUGGCAG
RNAcentral lists this ribosomal RNA (341 nucleotides) under uncultured Pseudomonadota bacterium. RNAcentral's name for it is "bacterial SSU rRNA". It matches the Rfam family "Bacterial small subunit ribosomal RNA", at positions 29 to 351 of the family's 1533-position model. The record is from RNAcentral. Lineage: Bacteria; Pseudomonadati; Pseudomonadota.